Molecule: ribosomal RNA, 433 nt
Filed under: uncultured bacterium
Lineage: Bacteria
Description: partial 16S ribosomal RNA
Rfam family: Bacterial small subunit ribosomal RNA
Source: RNAcentral
AACGAACGCUGGCGGCAUGCCUAACACAUGCAAGUCGAACGAGACCUUCGGGUCUAGUGGCGCACGGGUGCGUAACGCGUGGGAACCUGCCCUUAGGUUCGGAAUAACUCCCCGAAAGGGGUGCUAAUACCGGAUAAUGUCUUCGGACCAAAGAUUUAUCGCCUUUGGAUGGGCCCGCGUUGGAUUAGCUAGUUGGUAGGGUAAAAGCCUACCAAGGCGACGAUCCAUAGCUGGUCUGAGAGGAUGAUCAGCCACACUUGGACUGCGGCACGGCCCAGACCCCGACGGGAGGGAGCAGUAGGGAAUACUGGACAAUGGGCGAAAGUCUGGUCCAGCAAUGCCGCGGGAGUGGUGAAUGCCUUAGGGUUGUAAAGCUCUUUUACCCGGGAUGAGAAUGACAGUACCGGGAGAAUAAGCUCCGGCUAACUCCGUG